UGCUAACAUACAACACCACUCAAUGCUGUAUUUUUUUUUUUUGCUUCAGACAGGUCUUCAUAUUUUUAUUUUUCUUCUCGGACGUAUUGUGAAGGUUAACUUGGUUUCACUCGUUACGUUUGAUCCAACUGGAUUUCAUUGUUGUUUCAGACGCAACGUUUGCACAAUGCAACAAAGAAGUAGGCCUAAGCUUAUUUCAAUGUUGUUGUAUUGUGUUCAAAAGGUGUUGAAUUGUUAGACAUGUAGAAACACAUUUAGGACAGACUACCGGUGUGAAAAAGUAUCUUUGGCCGUAACAACUGGCGACUGCAGAUGCUAGAAGCAGUGGAGAUUGGACGUAAAUUUAAGUGUCACUCUUAAUCUGGGGUGUAUUCAUUUAGACCAGGAUUGAGACUUUCGUUUUGACCAAUCAUUGUGUUUACAUGGAUUCGCCAGUUGAUACGGGGGACUCGUAUAGUCAGGUUUUAUUUAUGCUUAAACUAAUCAAAGUGUAGGCAUAUAAGCGGUGUAACAUUACACCGCUUAUUAGCCUACACUUUGAUUAGUUUAUGCAUAAAUAAAACCUGAGAAGCCCCUCAAUAGAAAGAAAAGCACAGCCAGAGCUCUAAAUUAACAUUGCAAUCAGCCAAAUGCUGGUGAAAACUCAGGUUGGCUGGUACAAAAUAAAACUUAGUAGCCACUUUGACCCAUUGGUGAGAUUAAAUAUCUAUUAGCCAUUUUGGCUGGUGAUGAAAAAGGUUCAUUUGAAAUCUUGAGCACAGCAUACCUGUUAUCAGUGUAUCUCAUCAUUAUGCUGUAUCCUCAUUUCUGAAGCAUCUAUUACUGAACUGCACACAUUUACACUUUAUGCAUAUCUAGGGGUACAUGCAUUUUUUUUCUCUUUCCAUUUAUGCUAUACCUCCAGUGUAGGCCUAUAAUGUAAUAGGAUGUAUAUAUUUAUACAUAGAUGUAUAUCAUUUUGUCAUUGCAGGUUCAUCAGAGUCAGGUGGUCAGCACCCAAACUAAAACCAUGAGUCAUGGUGAAGAAGGAUGAGACUGUUCUAUGUGCCCAGGGUUCGUCAGGAUGGUGUAGAAUUGCAUCCUAGCAGCACAGCACAGGAAGCCAUCAUGAAGAAGUUGCCUGAGAGGCUUCGCUUAGGCUUUGCCAGCGCCUCACCAGAGUGUUUAUGGGUAGUACGAGAGAGGAAUCUCGCCACUUUUUCCGGGUGGUACUGUCCACUAAGUGGCGCCAUCCAGACAGCGCAGAGGAGGGCCAAGGAGCGCAGAGGCUGUUAGAAUGAAUAGGGUCCCAUGGAGCUCAACCACAGAUGCUGCCAUUGCUUUGGGAAAGAAUUGGCAUCAUCGUUUCAUUUUAUUUUUCUAAAAGGCAGGAUAAAUUACCCUUUCAAACAGCACUUAGUUUGAAUGUUUAAACUGGGUGGAUCUUUGUAAAAUACAUAUUUAUUGUCAAUAUGACAUCACGAGUGGCUUCACACACUGCGUUUGGAUUGGUCGCCCGGCUGCAUUGCUGUGAUCACGACGGCCGUAAAGCAAUUUUGUUAGCAAGAUGCUAGCGGAGCCUGACUCAUAAAUGCCAAAGCUGUAAGAAAUCAGAAGGGCAUGACUCCCAGGUUAUUGUACAUUUCAUUUAAAUCCACAUUGGUUUCUCAGAACUUAAAGUAAUAUUGUCAAGUUUCAGCCGACAGCGAGCACAAUUGUCAUUUAUUAGCGCCAGCCUUAUGAGCUCUGCUGUCUCGACAGCGCUCCCUAGGUGAACUGCAGGCACGGGUUGGAGGGCGAGAUUGAACACUGUAUGUAAACCCACUGUGGCCUCACUAUCAGUGAUGCUUGUCUCCUUAUCCACCGUGCCUACCCCCACAUUCCUCCCUUGAUGCAUUCAUCUCCUGACCUGUACCUGUUGUGGGAGUAGUCAGUGAUGACACACAGUAGUUGUGAUAAUAACAUACAUGUAUAUGAAAUGAUGUCCGUCCAGGCAUUUCCUUUGGUAUUUUAUUGUACACAACUUAGAACAUGUUCUUUGUCUGUCUACAGUAUAUUGAGUCUAGUCUAAAACUAAUUACUCUAGUUCUAUUGUCUCCAGCAUAUGUACGUAUCCAGUUACAUGGGUAUUUUGGUGCCUGGAUUAUGCUGCAUGUAAGUAAUAUGAACUCGGGUCAGGAUACCACAGUAGUUCAGAGAACCAUUCAUUAAUAUAAAAUGCACAUGUGUUGUAUGUCCAUCUCAGGAUAGACGUCCCCUCGUAUCACCAUUGUAACCCUAAAAUGCAUGUGUAAUUUGUGUCUAAAAAUAAAGUCUAUGAACAACUGAA
Engraulis encrasicolus (European anchovy) is the source of this 2308-nucleotide long non-coding RNA. RefSeq lists it as uncharacterized. The transcript is spliced from 2 exons. The record is from RefSeq and is a predicted model, not a curated record. Lineage: Eukaryota; Metazoa; Chordata; Actinopteri; Clupeiformes; Engraulidae.